GUGGACUGGGUGGUCUUACAGCAGGGCGAGGAGCCUGGGCUGUCUGGAGGAGGGGGCAGUGAUGGGUGAAGUCGGGGUUGGGGUGUGUUACAGUGUGGACUACAGCUUUCCCCUGGGUGAGGCAGCAGCCGCGGAGGUCUUAAGCAGAGGCCAUGAUAUCUGACUCAGGGUCUGGAAGAAUCACUCUGGCUCUUAGCUUUUGCUUCACAUUUAAAUUCUUGAAAUGUUCUUAAGCACCAAGGAAAUCAAUCUUCAGACUUUAGUUCUUGCCUUUUAAUGCUGUUAACAUAAUCUAGUAUUUUCUGUAUGUGUUACAAAUAACCAUAGGCUAGGAUUGAGUUGUCUUUAUUCUUGACUCUUGUACAUCGAACCAAGAAGUGUCAGAACUAAAUUAAGUUUGUCCAACAUGAUUAAUUCUUCACAGUUCCAGGCUGAUUGCUAUCUUGUUCCCCUUGCUAAUUCAUUUUCCUAUCUUCCUGUGUAUAGACGGGGUCAGCUUAUCAGGGUUGUCAUCCUACAUCCCCCACUUACUUUUUUUCAUGCAUUGUGAAGCCGUUCUUGUUUCUUGCUGGUCCAUCAGGAUCCUGUCCUCCAGGUGCUCUUUUUCAGCACUUCUGCCUUCAAGUUGCUGAUUCCGCUAUCCUUUUGGUGGGGAGAUGUCGACAGAGCCUGCCGGGCUUUAAUUGGACCUAAGCCACUUUGUAAAACUUGCACUUCAAAGAUGCAUGUAGAGUAUUCCAGAAAAAGACCCCCUCGGAAUAGGAGCCCGGAAGCAGAGUCUUCAAAUGUUGGCACGAAGGGCUCAGUGGCUGGCGUUCCACCAGAGGCGCCGACUGUGUGCGGUGCCCCUAGAGCGCACUGCCUGGCCUGUGGAGUGUGGAGUGCGGAACACAGACCUGCCAUCCAAUCCCGGCUCUUAGCUGUGUGAUGGGGCCUUCACGUCCCCGUCUAGAAAACUGGAAUAAUAACGUCUACCUCAUAGGAUGGCUUUAAGGAUUAAAGGAGAGGAUGAAUGCCACAUGCUUAAUAAUGCUCCAUAACGGCAGCUGUUAUGGUUGCUGAGGGCCCCAUUUAAAGCGUUGACAAAGCCCUGCACGUCCAUUAAUUCCUUCACUAACAGGGAGCAUAGGGAUGGGCUUCAGGCAAGAGUAAUAACAGCAGGCACUUAGGAAGUGGGAAGUCCACUACAGAGGCUUAGCUGCUCCACGGAGGCCCAGAUGUGGUCGGGUCUCCCAGGGAGGGGUCCUGAA
This 1250-nucleotide long non-coding RNA is filed under the name Equus asinus (donkey). Its description in RNAcentral is "lncRNA (ENSEASG00005024855.1)". The record is from RNAcentral. Lineage: Eukaryota; Metazoa; Chordata; Mammalia; Perissodactyla; Equidae.